AAGACAAGAGAUGCUCCGACUAGCCAAGGAGACUGCCUGCAACCAACCAGUUCCAUUGUAUGAUGAGUUUCUGAAGAUCAACUCGGUGAUGCAUGAAGAAAUCGAGUUCGGAGCAGGCAAGUCAUCCUUGGCUAUCAAAACAAGGCUCUCAUCC
Non-coding RNA from Eucalyptus grandis, 154 nucleotides. The record is from Rfam. Lineage: Eukaryota; Viridiplantae; Streptophyta; Magnoliopsida; Myrtales; Myrtaceae.